UACGUAGGGACCAAGCGUUGUUCGGAUUUACUGGGCGUAAAGGGCGCGUAGGCGGCGUGUUAAGUCAGCUGUGAAAUCUCCGAGCUUAACUCGGAACGGUCAGCUGAUACUGAUGUGCUAGAGUGCAGAAGGGGCAAUCGGAAUUCUUGGUGUAGCGGUGAAAUGCGUAGAUAUCAAGAGGAACACCUGAGGUGAAGACGGGUUGCUGGGCUGACACUGACGCUGAUGCGCGAAAGCGUGGGGAGCGAACAGG
RNAcentral lists this ribosomal RNA (253 nucleotides) under uncultured bacterium. RNAcentral describes it as "partial 16S ribosomal RNA". It matches the Rfam family "Bacterial small subunit ribosomal RNA", at positions 524 to 776 of the family's 1533-position model. The record is from RNAcentral.